RNAcentral lists this ribosomal RNA (383 nucleotides) under uncultured soil bacterium. RNAcentral's name for it is "bacterial SSU rRNA". It matches the Rfam family "Bacterial small subunit ribosomal RNA", at positions 26 to 413 of the family's 1533-position model. The record is from RNAcentral.
AGAUUGAACGCUGGCGGCAUGCCUUACACACGCAAGUCGAACGGCAGCACGGGGGCAACCCUGGUGGCGAGUGGCGAACGGGUGAGUAAUGCAUCGGAACGUGCCCAGUAGUGGGGGAUAACUAGUCGAAAGAUUAGCUAAUACCGCAUACGACCUAAGGGUGAAAGCGGGGGAUUCGCAAGAACCUCGCGCUAUCGGAGCGGCCGAUGUCUGAUUAGCUAGUUGGCGGGGUAAAAGCCACCAAGGCUUCGAUCAGUAGCUGGUCUGAGAGGACGACCAGCCACACUGGGACUGAGACACGGCCAGACUCCUACGGGAGCAGCAGUGGGGAAUUUGGACAAGUGGGCGCAAGCCUGAUCCAGCCAUGCCGCGUGACGGGGAAG